RNAcentral lists this ribosomal RNA (478 nucleotides) under Peptostreptococcus stomatis. RNAcentral describes it as "bacterial SSU rRNA". It matches the Rfam family "Bacterial small subunit ribosomal RNA", at positions 28 to 491 of the family's 1533-position model. Lineage: Bacteria; Bacillati; Bacillota; Clostridia; Peptostreptococcales; Peptostreptococcaceae. The record is from RNAcentral.
GAUGAACGCUGGCGGCGUGCCUAACACAUGCAAGUCGAGCGAGGGUUUGCUCAGUAUUGAGUAUUCUAAAACUAGAAUGUUCAAUUCUGAGCAAAACCAAGCGGCGGACGGGUGAGUAACGCGUGGGUAACCUGCCCUAUACACAUGGAUAACAUACUGAAAAGUUUACUAAUACAUGAUAAUAUAUAUUUGCGGCAUCGCAGAUAUAUCAAAGUGUUAGCGGUAUAGGAUGGACCCGUGUCUGAUUAGCUAGUUGGUGAGAUAACUGCCCACCAAGGCGACGAUCAGUAGCCGACCUGAGAGGGUGAUCGGCCACAUUGGAACUGAGACACGGUCCAAACUCCUACGGGAGGCAGCAGUGGGGAAUAUUGCACAAUGGGCGAAAGCCUGAUGCAGCAACGCCGCGUGAACGAUGAAGGUCUUCGGAUCGUAAAGUUCUGUUGCAGGGGAAGAUAAUGACGGUACCCUGUGAGGAAGC